This 478-nucleotide ribosomal RNA is filed under the name uncultured bacterium. RNAcentral's name for it is "partial 16S ribosomal RNA". It matches the Rfam family "Bacterial small subunit ribosomal RNA", at positions 28 to 523 of the family's 1533-position model. The record is from RNAcentral.
GACGAACGCUGGCGGCGUGCUUAACACAUGCAAGUCGAACGGUAAGGCCCUUCGGGGUACGCGAGUGGCGAACGGGUGAGUAACACGUGGGUGAUCUGCCCUGCACUUCGGGAUAAGCCUGGGAAACUGGGUCUAAUACCGGAUAGGACCACUGCCUGCAUGGGUGGUGGUGGAAAGCUGUUGCGGUGUGGGAUGGGCCCGCGGCCUAUCCUCUUGUUGGUGGGGUGAUGGCCUACCAAGGCGACGACGGGUAGCCGGCCUGAGGGGGUGAACGGGCACGCUGGGACUGAGGUACGGCCCAGACACCUACGGGAGGCAGCAGUGGGGAAUAUUACACAGUGGGCGCAAGCCUGAUGAAGCGACGCCGCGUGAGGGAUGACGGCCUGCGGGUUGUAAACCUCUUUCAGCACCGACGAAGCGAAAGUGACGGUAGGUGCAGAAGAAGGACCGGCCAACUACGUGCCAGCCGCCGCCGUAA